RNAcentral lists this signal recognition particle RNA (266 nucleotides) under Oscillospiraceae bacterium. RNAcentral's name for it is "signal recognition particle sRNA large type". It matches the Rfam family "Bacterial large signal recognition particle RNA". Rfam says of the family: The signal recognition particle (SRP) is a universally conserved ribonucleoprotein involved in the co-translational targeting of proteins to membranes. Archaeal SRP consists of a 7S RNA and homologues of the eukaryotic SRP19 and SRP54 proteins. The record is from RNAcentral. Lineage: Bacteria; Bacillati; Bacillota; Clostridia; Eubacteriales; Oscillospiraceae.
CUGCACUAAUCGGGGAGCCAGCGGUGCCCUGUCGCCUGCAAUCCGCUAUAGCAGGGAUGAAUCCCCGAACGAGGAUAUGUUUUGUGUCGUCUGCCGCCGGAAAGCAGCGUUGAGAAUCCGGUCUUGCGCAACGGAAACCCGUGAACCAUGUCAGGCGGGGAACCGAGCAGCAUUAAGCGGUGCUUUUCGUGUGCCGCGAGGGUGCCGGAUUUGAGCCGGCUGCCGGUGUUCCGGGCAUGAAUUCAUAUUCGGAUUCGGGUGUGCAG